GACUCGGUGGCGGGUGGUCCGCGUCCAUGCUUGUUGAACGAUGUCGUUCGUUACGUUGCAUGUGGAAGCCGCCUGUUCGAUUCAGGCCCGAGUUA
This is a non-coding RNA of Mycena galopus ATCC 62051, 95 nucleotides long. Lineage: Eukaryota; Fungi; Basidiomycota; Agaricomycetes; Agaricales; Mycenaceae. The record is from the annotation of a GenBank genome assembly.